Molecule: small nuclear RNA, 162 nt
Organism: Echinops telfairi (small Madagascar hedgehog)
Lineage: Eukaryota; Metazoa; Chordata; Mammalia; Afrosoricida; Tenrecidae
Product: U1 spliceosomal RNA
Exons: 1
Source: RefSeq, a predicted model, not a curated record
AUACUUACCUGGCAGGGGAGCUACCAUGAUCACAAAGGUGCUUUUCCCAGGGCGAGGCUUCUCCGUGGCACCCCGGCUGUGCUGACCCCUGUGAUUUCCCCAGAUGUGGGGAACUCGACUGCAUAAUUUGUGGUACUGGGGGACCGCCUUGGCGCUCUCCCC